AGAGGCUUACUAUAGCAGUUGAAUUGGUAGCUAAUCCAUCAAUAAUCUUCAUGGACGAGCCAACAUCUGGUCUUGAUGCAAGAGCUGCUGCCAUUGUUAUGCGUACUGUUAGGAAUACUGUUGAUACAGGAAGAACUGUUGUUUGUACAAUUCACCAACCUAGCAUCGACAUUUUCGAAUCCUUCGAUGAGGUUUGCUUCCGAAAUUUUUUCCACUUUUAAGUCCCUGAACCAGGAUAAAGUUAAUCAAUCAUCUUUGGUUUAAUGCAGUUGCUGUUGAUGAAACGAGGAGGACAAGUUAUAUAUGCUGGAACACUAGGACAUCACUCACAAAAACUCGUUGAAUACUUUGAGGUGAAUCAUUGGUUUUGCUUUUCCUCUCUCUUGGUCAUAUGAAUAUGGAACUAUAUCUAGAACUUUU
Molecule: long non-coding RNA, 420 nt
Filed under: Arabidopsis thaliana (thale cress)
Lineage: Eukaryota; Viridiplantae; Streptophyta; Magnoliopsida; Brassicales; Brassicaceae
Description: long non-coding RNA (ATHA_LNC000015)
Source: RNAcentral